This 64-nucleotide small nuclear RNA is filed under the name Moschus moschiferus (Siberian musk deer). RNAcentral's name for it is "U7 small nuclear RNA (ENSMMSG00000009705.1)". It matches the Rfam family "U7 small nuclear RNA". Rfam says of the family: Animal histone pre-mRNAs are spliced by a different mechanism than nuclear pre-mRNAs and self-splicing introns. This processing involves the U7 snRNP, which contains only one RNA species: U7. The record is from Rfam by way of RNAcentral. Lineage: Eukaryota; Metazoa; Chordata; Mammalia; Artiodactyla; Moschidae.
AAGUGCUACAGCUCUUUUACAAUUUGUCUAGCAGGUUUUUCAGUUCACACUGGAAAACACCCCC